RNAcentral lists this transfer RNA (864 nucleotides) under Synechococcus sp. CB0206. RNAcentral's name for it is "16S-23S ribosomal RNA intergenic spacer". The stretch from base 294 to 366 matches the Rfam family "tRNA". The record is from RNAcentral. Lineage: Bacteria; Bacillati; Cyanobacteriota; Cyanophyceae; Synechococcales; Synechococcaceae.
CAGGGAGACAACAACUGAUCGUGAUGUCUGAGUACUUUAUUCUCAGGCCAUGAUCCUGUCAUCUCGAAGGUCGAUCGGUACCUCAACUUCAAGGUUGAGAUGAAUGGGAUACUUCGGUAAGUCAUUCAUGCUCAGCUCUUGAUUUUCUGUUCCUAAACGUUGUCUAGGUCACCCCAUAGAGGGUUCACUUCCUGGGCCAUUAGCUCAGGUGGUUAGAGCGCACCCCUGAUAAGGGUGAGGUCCCUGGUUCAAGUCCAGGAUGGCCCAUGCCAAGGUCCAGCGAUGGAUCAUUUGGGGGUUUAGCUCAGUUGGUAGAGCGCCUGCUUUGCAAGCAGGAUGUCAGCGGUUCGAGUCCGCUAACCUCCACUAACAUCUGAACUCCAUAAGCAGGAAGCAAUUCUUGUGUGGUGACGUAGACGUUGUUCGCUGAUCAAGAGCACUCGAGAGAUCGAGUGGAGUUCAGCCUCAGAUCAUUCCCCAGUCUUUGAUCCAAGGAUCAAGGUUGAGAUGGUUGAUCUGAUGCUGGAUUCAGCGAAGGAGCCUCGCGAGGGGCUUUUUCAAUGAGAUUCAGCAGAACCUUGACAACUGCAUAGGUGAGUCUGGAAAGACAAAGCAUCUCAUAGAGGCGAGAUGAUGACGUCUGAUGUUCCAUCAUUGAUGGAUGAUCAGGUUGAGUCAACUCGUGAUUCUAUUUUUGAGAGCCGAGACCUUCUAGCGUUCUUCCAACGGCGCCGAUGCCGACGGGAGUCUGAUCCUUGUUUGCGGCAGAGCCGCUUGCGAUUGGGAGACCGAUCAAUAGCGAAGCUGCUUGUCAAACUCGAGAGAAUAGGCCUCAACAGCCUGAAGCGUUAGGAGGAUACAUUU